RNAcentral lists this ribosomal RNA (448 nucleotides) under uncultured Glomus. Its description in RNAcentral is "SSU rRNA". It matches the Rfam family "Eukaryotic small subunit ribosomal RNA", at positions 569 to 1019 of the family's 1831-position model. The record is from RNAcentral. Lineage: Eukaryota; Fungi; Glomeromycota; Glomeromycetes; Glomerales; Glomeraceae.
AGCAGCCGCGGUAAUUCCAGCUCCAAUAGCGUAUAUUAAAGUUGUUGCAGUUAAAAAGCUCGUAGUUGAAUUUCGGGGUUAGCAGGUCGGUCGUGCCAUCGGUAUGAACUGGUCUCGCUGAUCCCUCCCUCUUGACGAACUGUGAUGCCAUUAAUUUGGUGUCGCAGGGAAUCAGGACUGUUACUUUGAAAAAUUAGAGUGUUUAAAGCAGGCUCACGCUUGAAUACAUUAGCAUGGAAUAAUGAAAUAGGACGUUUGAUCCUAUUUUGUUGGUUUCUAGGAUUGACGUAAUGAUUAAUAGGGAUAGUUGGGGCAUUAGUAUUCAAUUGUCAGAGGUGAAAUUCUUGGAUUUAUUGAAGACUAACUACUUGCGUAAAGCAUUUGCCAAGGAUGUUUUUACAUUAAUCAAGAACGAAAGUUAGGGGGUCGAAGACGAUCAGAUACCGUC